AACGAACGCUGGCGGCAUGCCUAACACAUGCAAGUCGAACGAGACCUUCGGGUCUAGUGGCGCACGGGUGCGUAACACGUGGGAAUCUGCCCAGAGGUUCGGAAUAACACAGAGAAAUUUGUGCUAAUACCGGAUGAUGUCGCAAGACCAAAGAUUUAUCGCCUUUGGAGGAGCCCGCGUAGGAUUAGGUAGUUGGUGGGGUAAAGGCUCACCAAGCCGACGAUCCUUAGCUGGUCUGAGAGGAUGAUCAGCCACACUGGGACUGAGACACGGCCCAGACUCCUACGGGAGGCAGCAGUGGGGAAUAUUGGACAAUGGGCGAAAGCCUGAUCCAGCAAUGCCGCGUGAGUGAAGAAGGCCUUCGGGUUGUAAAGCUCUUUUACCCGGGAAGAUAAUGACUGUACCGGGAGAAUAAGCCCCGGCUAACUCCGUG
RNAcentral lists this ribosomal RNA (433 nucleotides) under uncultured bacterium. RNAcentral describes it as "bacterial SSU rRNA". It matches the Rfam family "Bacterial small subunit ribosomal RNA", at positions 29 to 507 of the family's 1533-position model. The record is from RNAcentral. RNAcentral also lists the same sequence under 1 other name.